CUGGUGGUGGUGGUGUCCUAUUGAAGAGGUAACCAUUGGGCCGUUCUUGGUGACCGGGCGUCGUCCACCGGCUUGGACCGUCGUGGGAGGAGAAGGACCGGGAGAAAAGUCGGCGGCGGAGCAUGUUGGUCAAAGCCAUCGUGGCGGUGGUGGAGGCCUAGCCUUGAAAGAUCAAGGAUAAAUUUGGGGGACUCGUUUUAGGGAUUUUAUUGGGUUAGUUACUUACUUAGCUUCCUGACAGUGAGAAAUGCUCUCUACACGACAUCGUUUAGAGUUUGGCCUAAGCCAAAAACCAAAUUAGUCUAUUUAUUAUAUGAAAUAUUCAAAAUAUGAUAAAAUCAAAAUUCAACAGAUUUACAUAGCUAUAUUUUUUAAAAAAUUUAUUAUCCUGAAAUAUUUUGAAUUAUAAAUAAAUAAUAUUUUUAUGUCAUUUUUUAAAUAAUAAAUAUUAACUAUAUUCAAUAUCGAUGAAAUUAAUCCAUUUAAUAAUAAAUGGUAUACCCACUCGAAGGUAAAAAAGUAUGUAAAUGUAAAGAAUUUACAUGAUCAAAUGCUUCUUGACAAUAUAAGAAGGAUGUUGAGUACGAUUUGAGCGCUUAUCACUCUCCAAUUUGGAACGUAUUUCUCCUGCAACUAAUGGAGCUAGGUCACGCAUUAUGAAAUUUUACUUUACUAUAUAUUUGAAAAUAUUGUGCUCCAAUAUCUUUACUUCAUGGUUUACCUUCUUUUUCUGUCUUCCAUAACAAAAUCAUUUAUUCUGCUUUAAAUUCAUAAUCUUUAAGAAAGCAUCGCAAACACUGUCAAAACUUCAUGUGCAGAUUGGCACUCAAACAGUAUAUAGAUCAAGUUUAAAGAAUCAAUCUCAUUUAAGUGGCACUCAAAUAGUUAGCCUUCUGUUCAAAGAAAGCUUUAAUAUACAAUAUCAUUUAAGUGGACCUGCCAAGGGAGUACAGCACGGCCUUUGCACCAUGGUGUUAGAGCAUAACCUAACCGAUAGAAUCACUUAAACUGAAAACCAAUAACAUGUUUGGUCCGAUAGAUAUCCUCAAACCAACAAAGGGAUGGGGUAACAAGGAAGAAAGUAGGUGGUAGUGCGGAAUGAGGAGAUGAUCGUUUUCAUUUCAUUGAUUGAACCUAUAUCCAAACAAGAAUACGAGGAUGGAAAAUCCUCUGUAACAUAUUCCCCUACUCCUAAAUUCUCAAUCACAAUUCUAUCAAGUAAAAUAGUCUUUUCCUCCGUACCAUAUGUGUCAAACACAAGUAUGUUCAAAAUUCUCUGAGAUUUCCAUUUAUUUAAAGGAUCAUAUUCUUAUUCCCAUGCCACAUAUAGGAUGGAUACGAGUACUCAAAAAACCGAAGAAUCGAAGCUAUCACAAUCCUAUCGGUCAAUAAUCCUUCAUUAUACUAACUACUAAAUGCUCAACACUAAUGUAUGGCCCUUCACAUAUAACAAUAACAUAAAUCAUUCCUUUUUUUCUCCUUCUUUUCAUUGAUAAAAAACAAGUAGAAUACAACUUACAUAUUGCCUCAAUAAACUAAAUAGUAAUAAUACCUAAAAAGAGAUCCCAUCCCAACAGCCGUAAGGGGUCAACUGAUAACCCGUCUUUUCCCUAAUACUAUCCUUGCGUAACUUCUAACAUUCGGAACCUUUACAGAUAUGCCAUAUUCAUUUACUCCAUAAUACUACCUCUAGUCAAAAGUGGGUUCUUAAUUUACUAAAGAACUGAUAUUUUCUUCAAACCUAUUGAAAGGACCAACACGUUAAGCACUAGAGUAAACUAGCUGGAGUACAGUUUUUCUAAGAUAUUCCAUGUCUGUAAUGAUAGCAUUAGGGCAUAAGCAUAUCAAUAAACCCAAUUUAUUCCCAAAUUCUUCUGAACAUCCAUUGAAACUCGAUAAGUAAAUAUUAGAUUAUGAAUAGAAACAAGCUAAUGACUUCCUCAUCGUCAUCGAAAGCAUAAAUCCAAUUAAAAAGCCCAUAAAAUUUCAACAACGACAAACCCUUUGAACAACACAUUUAUCAACAGAAAAUACAACCUACCAAAAGGACCAGCAAGUUAAGCACAAAACUAACUACAACACAAUUCUUCUAAGAUAUUCCAUAUUUAUAGGGAUAGACGAAUUGCGAAUAACCCAACUUAUUUUCAAAUUCUUCUGAACAUCCAUCGAAACUUGAUAAGUAAAUAUCAGAUUACGAACAGAAACAAGCUAAUGAAUUCAUUAUCGUCAUUGAAAGCAUAAAUCCAAUUAAAAACACAAAAAAUUUCCACAACUACAAGCCCUUUGAACAAUACAUUUAUCAACAGAAAAUAGAACCUACCGAAAGGACCAGCAAGUUAAACACUAAAUUAACUACAGACAAUUCUUCUAAGGUAUUCCAUUUUUGUAAGGACAGCAUUAAGGCACUAGCAUAUCAAUACAUUGCAAAUAAACCCAACUUAUUUUCAAAUUCUUCUGAACAUUAGAUUAUGAUCAGAAACAAGCCAAUGAUUUCUUCAUCAUCGAAUGCGUAAAUCCAACUAAAAAAAGCCAUAAAAAUUUAACUACAGAUCCUUCACCCGUUACAAAAAAAAAAACCCAAUUUUUGUUUAAACAGCACAUUUUAUAAACAGCAAAGAACUGAAAUUUUCUUAGAAACCAUCCAAAAGGACCAGAAAGUUAAGCCCUAAACUAACUACUGUACCAUUUUUCUAUGAAAUUCCAUAUUUAUAAGGAUAAUUUUAGGGCAAUGGCAUAUCAAUACAGGAUCAAUAAACCUAAUUUAUUUUCAAAAUCUUUUGAGCAUCCAUUGAAACUCGAUAAGUAAAUAUUAGAUUACGAUCCCAAAUAAGCCAACGACUUCAUCAUCAUCAUCAUCGAAAACGUAAAAUUAAAAACCCAUAAAAUUUCAACAACUACAAGCGUUAAAAAAAAAAGAACCCCUUCUUUUUAUUCGAACUACACAUUGAAAUCAAAAGCGUUAACAAAGAUCCGUACCCCAGAUCCCGGUCGAAAUUUGCUUCAAAACAUCUCAGUCAGAAGAAGAUGACGACGACUCGGCGGCGAGUUUUUCAAGGGCUUUUUGAUGUGCCCAAGUCUCGAUAGUGAGAUCGGGCUUGGCGUUGAGACCAACACCGAGGAUCACGAUGGUGAGGAAGCUCGUGACGUAGCAAGGCAACUCCCAAUCUUCCCAUUUACGGGAUUGGCCUGGAGGUGGUGGGGUCCUGUUGAAGAGGUAACCAUUGGGUCGUUCCUGGUGACCGGGCGUCGUCCACCGGCUUGGACCGUCGUGGGAGGAGAAAGCCCGGGAGAAGAGUCGGCGGCGGAGCAUGGUGGUCAAGGCCAUCGUG
RNAcentral lists this long non-coding RNA (3329 nucleotides) under Gossypium barbadense (sea-island cotton). Its description in RNAcentral is "long non-coding RNA (GBAR_LNC021346)". Lineage: Eukaryota; Viridiplantae; Streptophyta; Magnoliopsida; Malvales; Malvaceae. The record is from RNAcentral.